Molecule: ribosomal RNA, 458 nt
Filed under: uncultured bacterium
Lineage: Bacteria
Description: partial 16S ribosomal RNA
Rfam family: Bacterial small subunit ribosomal RNA
Source: RNAcentral
CCUACGGGUGGCUGCAGUGGGGAAUAUUGCACAAUGGGGGAAACCCUGAUGCAGCGACGCCGCGUGAGUGAAGAAGUAAUUGGUUACGUAAAGCUCUAUCUGCAGGGAAGCAACACUGACCUUACGGUCAGCAGACGGUACCUGAGUAAGAAGCCCCGGCUAACUACGUGCCAGCAGCCGCGGUAAUACGCAGGGGGCAAGCGUUAUCCGGAUUUACUGGGUGUAAAGGGAGCGUAGACGGUGCGCCAAGUCUGGAGUGAAAUGCCGAAGCGUAACUGCGGAACUGCUUUGGAAACUGGCGGACUGGAGUGCGGGAGGGGUAAGCGGAAUGCCUGGUGUAGCGGUGAAAGGCGUAGAUAUUAGGAGGAACACCGGUGGCGAAGGCGGCGUACUGGAACGUAACUGACGUUGAGGCUCGAAAGCGUGGGGAGCGAACAGGAUUAGAUACCCCAGUAGUC